CCGCCCAUAGCUCAACUGGCAGAGCAGGUCCCUCUUAAGGACAAGGUUCCAGGUUCGAUUCCUGGUGGGCGGAUCA
This 76-nucleotide transfer RNA is filed under the name Candidatus Sungbacteria bacterium RIFCSPHIGHO2_02_FULL_47_11. RNAcentral's name for it is "tRNA-Lys". It matches the Rfam family "tRNA". From Rfam's summary of the family: Transfer RNA (tRNA) molecules are approximately 80 nucleotides in length. Their secondary structure includes four short double-helical elements and three loops (D, anti-codon, and T loops). Lineage: Bacteria; Candidatus Sungiibacteriota. The record is from RNAcentral.